AUGGACCAGGGCUAUUUAAAAAUACAAGAUAUCUUCAUCCCAAUUAGCCAAUCCCGUCAAACUAAUCAACGGUUUUGCCGUUGCUUUCCGAUGGUUUUGUCCUUGUACGGCACAUGCACUGGUCAAGCAUUUCUUCCUGUUCACACGCAUGCAACGACCAGGAGGAAGAAGAAGAAGAUGACGCCGCUUAGUCAGAUACAAGCCAAAUUAGCUAAUCAAAGGGGAGUAACUGCAGACACCGCGGCGACUGGACUUUCAGUUUCAUCUCGUGUGCGAUUAUGCCGGCAUCAUGCGGUGACGACGUUUGUGGUCUACACUAGUUGUGUAUUCUGGUUUCAGUUUGGAGCUCUAUAUCCCCGCUGCAUGGGAACACGGAUGGAGCACACCUGUACACGUAGGAUGCAGCUUUCUAGCCAGCCAGCGUCGAAUCAUGUGUGUACAUUGGUUUGCUGCGACGUGAAUCGUUUUCCUCCUGUCCUGGCGGCUGGAACCCUAGCCGCCGCCAGGAGACCCAAUCUUCCAGCGUCGUCCUCCGGCGGCUCCCCUUCGCCGGCGACCUCGGUCGUCGGUGCGCUGAAUAAAGAUUCUUCGGAUCCUUCCUUAACAAGGCCAUUGGUCCCAUGGUUGGGGAUGAAUUUGGAAACCAGUCUGUUCAAACAAGGAUGGCGUCAGGGCGGCGGCAUCCUCGUGGUGGACCUGUGUCCUCGGGCUCCGCCGUUGCGACGACGUUUGCUCCAGCGUCGGCACGGAGCUUGGGAGGUAGUGCAGGAGCGGAUGCAGAUUGUGGUCUGCAUCGACGACAUCUGGAAGACGGAACAUGUGUUGGGUACGUGGUUCGUGGAUGACAGGUAUGAUUUUCUUCCGCGAUGUCUUAUUCGCCGUGGGGUGCCAGAUCUGGAGUUCGAUGGCGUGUCCGGGGUGUUGCCCCGGUCUGACUCGUUCAACGGUAAGGGCUUCACUUUUGGUGAGCCACCUUGGAGGUCCGCAAAGCUGCAUAUCAGCGAUGGAGCCGCGUCGAGCUCGGGUGAGGAGGUGAUCCAUCAUUCUUUUCUUCGGUGGCUGCUGUCGUGGUGCCGGAGGCAGCCAGCCAGCGUCGCCGAGUCAACCAAGCGCGUAACUGACAUCCACCACUGGUGCCGUGGUACGUACGCGCCUACACAUGGCUGCGGUGCAUAUGGCCCCGCCAGCCUGCCACUGGUCUAUCCGAACCUGAAUCCUGAUAUGCAAACAGCACUGGACGGAUACGGUGAAUCAGGAUAUGGGCAGACUUUGUUUACUUUGCUGCCGGCUAAGAAAACCCUAUGUGCCGCUCUCUGGGUCGAAAGUGUUGGGUGCUCGCACAGUCCAAGAGACAAUCAUGGUCAGGGAGCCAUCGCCUUUCUAUCGGGGUUGUUCACGACGGAUGUGUUCGUCCACCAUUACUUGACGGAUCCAUCGAGGUACCAAAUGAAUGUAUUCAUGUGCGCCAGCCCCAGUUUGUUAACCACAAGCUUCCAGAACCUCAAGGGUUCCACCUAUCCUCCGGCGCCGCCGCACUGGAGUCCACGUAAAAUCUCACUGGAGGACCGGACUGCUCCGGACGCGGGUGAGAUCUACCCUCUCCCUUCACGCGCAGAGUUGUGCAUGGAGGAUUCAACACAACAGGUGCUAGAGGGCAAGGAGGAAGAGAUGGCGACCGCGGAAGCUUUGGCAGCAGCAGGAAGGCCGAGCGGGUUGGGAGGAACGAAGGAGGGGGUUACGGAUGAGUACAGGCGUAGGGAUGGGUUUGUUCACAGGUCGCAGGACGUGCGGGACCAAUUCGGAGGAGAUGAAGAGGAGUUUGGAGAUUAUCAUGGGCCCGAACAUGAUUUCGAGGACCAAUUUGCGGGGAUGAAGCUCCAUGGAAGGGAGGAGGAAGAGUUGGAUUUUUCAGCGGAAGUUGACGAUCUGAUUAAGGAUGUACAUUGGCUUGCCCUGUUCCGAGUCCAUGCUACGAAACCCUUUAGCCACGCUGUGCUCUUGUCUCAAAUGCGUAAUGCAUGGUCGGCGGCUCAAGAGGUGACGAGGAUAAUGGACGGAGGGCCAUGGCUGUUUAGGAGGGCACCGGUGGUGAUCCAGGAGUAUGAUGGAUUCUCAGACGUCAAAGGUUAUAGACUCAAUAAAAUUCCGGUAUGGGCGAGGGUGAAGGGGCUGCCGGAUGGGCUCACAAGAAGGAAAGAGCUAGCGGAGAAGGUUGCAGCUAAAGUGGGUGAUCCACCUUUCACCAUGAUAAUGAAUGAGGGGAGAAUCAACCCAGCUAGUACCCUGCGGGUGAGGGUUUAUGUGGAUGUCAAUAAUGAGUAUGGUGAUGGGAUACAUGAUCCAAACUCAUUUGAGUGGGGUGAGUGGCUGCUGUGGGAGCCUGAAGUACCUACAUCCCAAGGUGUAGGAGGACGAGGUAGAGGAGAUGGAGGUGGUAGGGGAAGAGGUUGGGAUGCAGGCAGGGGGGAUCGAGGAGGUAGAGGAGGGAGAGGCUCGAUGGGUGGUAGGGGGAGAGGGGAACCUGGAGCAGGGGUGCAACCCACUGGAUCGCAGCAAAUGGAUGUGGAGGGUCAGGGAGACGGUUUGGGAAGUUUAGGGGAAAGGGGAGCGAGGAAGAGGCUGGUUGAGGCGGAUGGCACUCUAAACGUUCGGGGGAAACAGCUCAAUCAUCUGGCUGGACGGGUAGCCGGUUCUGUCAUGCUGAUCGAAGGGGGUUCUCAAGCGGCAAGCACAAGUGCUGUGAUAUCCACCCCGGAGAAGGUCCCCAUUGUGAAGAGGAGGCGUGAGGAUGGAGAAGAAGGUGCUUUAGUAGAUCAAACAAUAGAGGCGGCCUCCCUUGAGGAGGGCCGCCGGGCCUGA
RNAcentral lists this ribosomal RNA (2859 nucleotides) under Triticum aestivum (bread wheat). Its description in RNAcentral is "partial small subunit ribosomal RNA". Lineage: Eukaryota; Viridiplantae; Streptophyta; Magnoliopsida; Poales; Poaceae. The record is from RNAcentral.